Long non-coding RNA from Perca fluviatilis (European perch), 510 nucleotides. RefSeq lists it as uncharacterized. Lineage: Eukaryota; Metazoa; Chordata; Actinopteri; Perciformes; Percidae. The transcript has 3 exons. The record is from RefSeq and is a predicted model, not a curated record.
ACUGAUGACCUUAUUCAGACGGAAGGCAUCAUCAAAACUGGGAAGACAGCAGAUGCUCUGGCUGAAAUUUUAAAAAUCCAUGAUGAACAGGAAAUCCAUGACAUACACACCAAGCGCACUACUGUUCUCCACGUCCUUCCUGUGUAUCUGCGAGAGGACGUCUCUGGAUGUUUAAGAACCUGCACAGAUGAGUCUGAUGAGCCAGAGCUUGAUGGUGUUGCAGUGGGCCUCAUUACUUUCAUCGGUGACCAUGACGCAAGUCCAGUUCACUACCGCCCUGUGAGAAUCACUGUCGUCCAUUGAAAGUGAUGCCGUGGUCAGCCUUCCCAGACUUGGCGAUGCCUUCCUGGUAAUCUGUGGAGUGAUCUAUGCACUACACCUCAGCUAUCCCAAAGCACUGACCAACACUUUUGAAUUCACUCUAAAGAUUUAACUUGGUCUAGAAAGUGGUAAACUAUCCCCGAGGUUGCAGACCCUCAAGAAUGAAUUAAUGAUGUAGAAACUCAUCUG